GGGGAUGCAAGGCAUAGACAGUUGGUCUAUUUGCAUUGAUGCAUACCGAGCAUGAACAUAACCUCGUAAAAAUUUGUUCAAAUGUUAAUUGCAAAAUUAGCUACUAAAGUGAAAAACGCUGUUUCUCCAUACUUCGGUAUGAAUGACUUCGCUUUCGCUUCGGUUUCCGCUUACGCGUAACCGAUGUCUCUCUUAUAGACUUCCGAUAUAUGAGAUGGGGCAUAAUAUUAUCGGGAUAGGAGAAAGACUUUCCUGACUUUUUUCCAAAACAAAAGGAAUCGAUUAAAAAAUAUUUGGCUCGUUUCUUAAUUUUUUAAUUUAAACAAAAAGCGCGCUACGUAUGUAGACUUCACUGCAAACUCCCUCUGCACUGGGAUUCAAUUUCCCACAUCUCCACUC
RNAcentral lists this transfer-messenger RNA (399 nucleotides) under Candidatus Nomurabacteria bacterium RIFCSPHIGHO2_02_40_30. It matches the Rfam family "transfer-messenger RNA". From Rfam's summary of the family: Bacterial tmRNA, also known as 10Sa RNA or SsrA, is named for its dual tRNA and mRNA-like properties. Its role is to liberate the mRNA from a stalled ribosome. Lineage: Bacteria; Candidatus Nomuraibacteriota. The record is from RNAcentral. RNAcentral also lists the same sequence under 6 other names.